Molecule: ribosomal RNA, 387 nt
Filed under: uncultured bacterium
Lineage: Bacteria
Description: bacterial SSU rRNA
Rfam family: Bacterial small subunit ribosomal RNA
Source: RNAcentral
AUUGAACGCUGGCGGAAUGCUUUACACAUGCAAGUCGAACGGCAGCACGGGGCAACCUGGUGGCGAGUGGCGAACGGGUGAGUAAUACAUCGGAACGUGCCCAAUCGUGGGGGGAUAACGUAGCGAAAGUUACGCUAAUACCGCAUACGAUCUACGGAUGAAAGCGGGGGAUCGCAAGACCUCGCGCGAAUGGAGCGGCCGAUGUCAGAUUAGGUAGUUGGUGGGGUAAAGGCUCACCAAGCCAACGAUCUGUAGCUGGUCUGAGAGGACGACCAGCCACACUGGAACUGAGACACGGUCCAGACUCCUACGGGAGGCAGCAGUGGGGAAUUUUGGACAAUGGGCGCAAGCCUGAUCCAGCCAUUCCGCGUGCAGGAUGAAGGCCUU